GAUGAACGCUGGCGGCGUGCCUAAUACAUGCAAGUCGAGCGAACGGACGAGAAGCUUGCUUCUCUGAUGUUAGCGGCGGACGGGUGAGUAACACGUGGAUAACCUACCUAUAAGACUGGGAUAACUUCGGGAAACCGGAGCUAAUACCGGAUAAUAUUUUGAACCGCAUGGUUCAAAAGUGAAAGACGGUCUUGCUGUCACUUAUAGAUGGAUCCGCGCUGCAUUAGCUAGUUGGUAAGGUAACGGCUUACCAAGGCAACGAUGCAUAGCCGACCUGAGAGGGUGAGCGGCCACACUGGAACUGAGACACGGUCCAGACUCCGACGGGAGGCAGCAGCGGGGAAUCUUCCGCAAUGGGCGAAAGCCUGACGGAGCAACGCCGCGUGAGUGAUGAAGGUCUUCGGAUCCUAAAACUCUGUUAUUAGGGAAGAACAUAAGUGUAAGUAACUGUGCACAUCUUGACGGUACCUAAUCAGAAAGCCACGGCUAACUACGUG
Molecule: ribosomal RNA, 497 nt
Filed under: uncultured bacterium
Lineage: Bacteria
Description: partial 16S ribosomal RNA
Rfam family: Bacterial small subunit ribosomal RNA
Source: RNAcentral